RNAcentral lists this ribosomal RNA (456 nucleotides) under Bacillus sp. (in: firmicutes). RNAcentral's name for it is "bacterial SSU rRNA". It matches the Rfam family "Bacterial small subunit ribosomal RNA", at positions 386 to 833 of the family's 1533-position model. Lineage: Bacteria; Bacillati; Bacillota; Bacilli; Caryophanales; Bacillaceae. The record is from RNAcentral.
ACGGAGCAACGCCGCGUGAGUGAUGAAGGCUUUCGGGUCGUAAAACUCUGUUGUUAGGGAAGAACAAGUGCUAGUUGAAUAAGCUGGCACCUUGACGGUACCUAACCAGAAAGCCACGGCUAACUACGUGCCAGCAGCCGCGGUAAUACGUAGGUGGCAAGCGUUAUCCGGAAUUAUUGGGCGUAAAGCGCGCGCAGGUGGUUUCUUAAGUCUGAUGUGAAAGCCCACGGCUCAACCGUGGAGGGUCAUUGGAAACUGGGAGACUUGAGUGCAGAAGAGGAAAGUGGAAUUCCAUGUGUAGCGGUGAAAUGCGUAGAGAUAUGGAGGAACACCAGUGGCGAAGGCGACUUUCUGGUCUGUAACUGACACUGAGGCGCGAAAGCGUGGGGAGCAAACAGGAUUAGAUACCCUGGUAGUCCACGCCGUAUACGAUGAGUGCUAAGUGUUAUAGGGUUU